CACAUAUAACAUCUGAAAAAUAAGAUUUAAAUUAAACUAUUUAAUAUAAAAUCUAUUCUAGACAGUUACUAGAAUAAUUCUACAACUAGUCUAGGCAUGCAAUAGAUCAAUCUUAUAUAUUAAUUAAAAUUUUAUUUUUUAUUUUUUGAUCUGAAUAUAAUAUUUAUAACAUCAAAAAAAUAGAGAAUAAAUUAGAUCUAAUUUAUAUUUUAAUCACA
This 218-nucleotide long non-coding RNA is filed under the name Elaeis guineensis (African oil palm). RNAcentral's name for it is "long non-coding RNA (EGUI_LNC069472)". The record is from RNAcentral. Lineage: Eukaryota; Viridiplantae; Streptophyta; Magnoliopsida; Arecales; Arecaceae.